Molecule: ribosomal RNA, 463 nt
Filed under: uncultured Methanosaeta sp.
Lineage: Archaea; Methanobacteriati; Methanobacteriota; Methanomicrobia; Methanotrichales; Methanotrichaceae
Description: bacterial SSU rRNA
Rfam family: Archaeal small subunit ribosomal RNA
Source: RNAcentral
CACCGACAACGGGUGGAGCUUGCGGUUUAAUUGGAUUCAACGCCGGAAAUCUUACCGGGACCGACAGCAAUAUGAAGGCCAGGCUGAAGACUUUGCCGGAUUAGCUGAGAGGUGGUGCAUGGCCGUCGUCAGUUCGUACUGUGAAGCAUCCUGUUAAGUCAGGCAACGAGCGAGACCCACGCCCACAGUUGCCAGCGUACUCUCUGGAGUGACGGGUACACUGUGGGGACCGCCGCUGCUAAAGCGGAGGAAGGAAUGGGCAACGGUAGGUCAGUAUGCCCCGAAUAUCCCGGGCUACACGCGAGCUACAAUGGUUGGUACAAUGGGUAUCUACCCCGAAAGGGGACGGGAAUCUCCUAAAACCAAUCUUAGUUCGGAUUGAGGGCUGCAACUCGCCCUCAUGAAGCUGGAAUCCGUAGUAAUCGCGUUUCAACAGAACGCGGUGAAUACGUCCCUGCUCCUU